CCUCAGUUACAUUGAUCAUUUCAAGUUAGCUGAAUAACAUUUAAUUUAAUGAGUAUUCCGAAGAUCAGUUUCGGCUGAACAUCAACACUUUUCUAUCUGAGCAGAAAGAGUACGUACUAAAUUAAUGAAUAUGAUUCAACCAUUUUGAGGGUAUUCUGAAUCAUUUUUCUUUUUAUGUGUCACCUGAAAUAAACUCCGGUAUUCCUUGCAGAGUUGCAUAUGAAGUUCUCUUGCUGGUUUUAGAAGUGUAAAUAACAUUGCACAGGAGGCAAGAAGAGACUACUGAGUGUCAAAUACGAACACUAAAUGAUGCAUGGUGGAAAGAAAGAAUGGGAAGAAGAGGAGGAGAGUACUGUUUGUGCCAGAAAAACAGAGAUGGCUUCCAACCCCACGAACUUCCUACAGGUUCCUAGGAUCAAAGCUUACUACUGCAAUUAAGUGACAGAGAGAAUGAAGCCCUGUACUGUGCUUUCUUCCAUGCUGUGCAUCACACUGGAAGGGACAGAGGGAAUGUGAGAGCAGCUGCCUUAGAUUCAGCAUCAACAAAUGGUCCCACAGAGUUCCUGCUGUCUGGGCAACUGAUCAAUUCACAUCCAGAUGCACGCUGCUCCAGCUCCCCUUGAUCAUCUUCAGUGUGCACUGAAUAAAUAAUUACUUCCUUCUACUCCCUAGCCCUUC
Molecule: long non-coding RNA, 678 nt
Filed under: Phasianus colchicus (ring-necked pheasant)
Lineage: Eukaryota; Metazoa; Chordata; Aves; Galliformes; Phasianidae
Description: lncRNA (ENSPCLG00000000893.1)
Source: RNAcentral